CGCACGGGUGAGUAACACGUAUCCAACCUGCCGUCUACUCUUGGACAGCCUUCUGAAAGGAAGAUUAAUACAAGAUGGCAUCAUGAGUCCGCAUGUUCACAUGAUUAAAGGUAUUCCGGUAGACGAUGGGGAUGCGUUCCAUUAGAUAGUAGGCGGGGUAACGGCCCACCUAGUCUUCGAUGGGUAGGGGUUCUGAGAGGAAGGUCCCCCACAUUGGAACUGAGACACGGUCUAA
RNAcentral lists this ribosomal RNA (235 nucleotides) under uncultured bacterium. Its description in RNAcentral is "partial 16S ribosomal RNA". It matches the Rfam family "Bacterial small subunit ribosomal RNA", at positions 99 to 334 of the family's 1533-position model. The record is from RNAcentral.